This 462-nucleotide ribosomal RNA is filed under the name uncultured bacterium. Its description in RNAcentral is "partial 16S ribosomal RNA". It matches the Rfam family "Bacterial small subunit ribosomal RNA", at positions 28 to 507 of the family's 1533-position model. The record is from RNAcentral.
GACGAACGCUGGCGGCGUGCUUAACACAUGCAAGUCGAGCGGAAAGGCCCUUCGGGGUACUCGAGCGGCGAACGGGUGAGUAACACGUGAGUAACCUGCCCCAGACUUUGGGAUAACCCUCGGAAACGGGGGCUAAUACCGGAUACGACACAGCUUCGCAUGGGGUCUGUGUGGAAAGUUUUUCGGUUUGGGAUGGGCUCGCGGCCUAUCAGCUUGUUGGUGGGGUGAUGGCCUACCAAGGCGACGACGGGUAGCCGGCCUGAGAGGGCGACCGGCCACACUGGGACUGAGACACGGCGCAGACUCCUACGGGAGGCAGCAGUGGGGAAUAUUGCACAAUGGGCGGAAGCCUGAUGCAGCGACGCCGCGUGAGGGAUGACGGCCUUCGGGUUGUAAACCUCUUUCAGCAGGGACGAAGCGUAAGUGACGGUACCUGCAGAAGAAGCGCCGGCCAACUACGUG